This 763-nucleotide ribosomal RNA is filed under the name uncultured Streptococcus sp. RNAcentral describes it as "bacterial SSU rRNA". It matches the Rfam family "Bacterial small subunit ribosomal RNA", at positions 28 to 776 of the family's 1533-position model. The record is from RNAcentral. Lineage: Bacteria; Bacillati; Bacillota; Bacilli; Lactobacillales; Streptococcaceae.
GACGAACGCUGGCGGCGUGCCUAAUACAUGCAAGUAGAACGCUGAAGGAGGAGCUUGCUUCUCUGGAUGAGUUGCGAACGGGUGAGUAACGCGUAGGUAACCUGCCUGGUAGCGGGGGAUAACUAUUGGAAACGAUAGCUAAUACCGCAUAAUAGUAGAUGUUGCAUGACAUUUGCUUAAAAGGUGCAAUUGCAUCACUACCAGAUGGACCUGCGUUGUAUUAGCUAGUUGGUGGGGUAACGGCUCACCAAGGCGACGAUACAUAGCCGACCUGAGAGGGUGAUCGGCCACACUGGGACUGAGACACGGCCCAGACCCCUACGGGAGGCAGCAGUAGGGAAUCUUCGGCAAUGGACGGAAGUCUGACCGAGCAACGCCGCGUGAGUGAAGAAGGUUUUCGGAUCGUAAAGCUCUGUUGUAAGAGAAGAACGAGUGUGAGAGUGGAAAGUUCACACUGUGACGGUAUCUUACCAGAAAGGGACGGCUAACUACGUGCCAGCAGCCGCGGUAAUACGUAGGUCCCGAGCGUUGUCCGGAUUUAUUGGGCGUAAAGCGAGCGCAGGCGGUUAGAUAAGUCUGAAGUUAAAGGCUGUGGCUUAACCAUAGUACGCUUUGGAAACUGUUUAACUUGAGUGCAAGAGGGGAGAGUGGAAUUCCAUGUGUAGCGGUGAAAUGCGUAGAUAUACGGAGGAACACCGGUGGCGAAAGCGGCUCUCUGGCUUGUAACUGACGCUGAGGCUCGAAAGCGUGGGGAGCAAACAGG